CGAAGCAACGCGAAGAACCUUACCAGGUCUUGACAUCCCCUGACAACCCGAGAGAUCGGCGUUCCCCUUCGGGGGACAGGGUGACAGGUGGUGCAUGGUUGUCGUCAGCUCGUGUCGUGAGAUGUUGGGUUAAGUCCCGCAACGAGCGCAACCCUCGACCUUAGUUGCCAGCAUUCAGUUGGGCACUCUAAGGUGACUGCGGCUAAAAGUCGGAGGAAGGUGGGGAUGACGUCAAAUCAUCAUGCCCCUUAUAACCUGGGCUACACACGUGCUACAAUGGGCGGUACAAAGGGUCGCGAACCCGCAGGGGGAGCCAAUCCCAAAAAGCCGCUCUCAGUUCGGAUUGCAGGCUGGCAACUCGCCUGCAUGAAGCCGGAAUCGCUAGUAAUCGCGGAUCAGCAUGCCGCGGUGAAUACGUUCCCGGGCCUU
RNAcentral lists this ribosomal RNA (429 nucleotides) under uncultured Anoxybacillus sp. RNAcentral's name for it is "bacterial SSU rRNA". It matches the Rfam family "Bacterial small subunit ribosomal RNA", at positions 952 to 1382 of the family's 1533-position model. The record is from RNAcentral. Lineage: Bacteria; Bacillati; Bacillota; Bacilli; Caryophanales; Anoxybacillaceae.